AAUCAUCUCCUCCAAUAACCUGCAGAGUCUCCAAACACGCUUUAAACAGCCUGCAGACCUUGCUGUUUAACUGCGUGUCUGUCGAGUUGAGAGGGUAAUACUCGAUAUGCCUCCCCUGCUUAACGUGAAGAGCAAAGGCUGAACAGAGUCGCCAAUUCUCACCACAGUUUCCUCUCUUUAGAAGCUCUGAUGCUGCAAUAACACUAACGCGCCAAGGGAUAAACGGUACUUUCGGCUUGUUCAGAGCUUUUAAAAUCUGAACCCAAAUGUCAGCAUUUCAGGACUACGUCAUGUGUAUGUGCUGUAUUGUAAGCGACAAGCAUAAUCUCGGGGAUAACUAGAUGGAUAAGCAGAUAGAGGGAGAAAGACAGACAAUGAGCAGAACUCACCGUGAAUUGGAGGGAAGAGAAAGAAGAGAUCCAUAUGCCCUUCCUAAACCACAGGAUAUCCCCUCAGACGUGCUCAGCGCGUCAGUGAUGAGGAUAACAGAGGGGGCAUUAUUUUUGCUCAACAGCUCGGGAAGGUGAUAAAGGGCUCCCAGAUUCCCCCGCAGGAGUGCAGCCGUACGCACACAUCUAUUUAAGUUUUGAUGCAACAUUUCAUCUCCCCAGCUACAAAGGGCCGGAGGGGGGGGCUCUGUCUUUGGACUGUAAAGCAGCACCAUAGCCAACUCAACUAGAGAGUUUGGAGGAAGGUUUCUCAACACACAGCUGCCUGCACACAUCCCAUUUCCUUAUAAAAAUGUCUUCAUAACAUUAUUAGAAAAUGAUGUACCGUAGUUGGAGUCUGGUGAAUACUGAAUGUUAUUGUAGUAUAAAUGUGUCUGCAGUUUUAAUUUCUCUGCUGUACUGUUCUUGUAGCACUGCAGACAUAGUCUUUAAUGUUGAUACAGAACAAAGUGUAUAUACCCUCAGUUGCUUUAAGGCUUUUCUCAUAUCAGUAACAUCAUGUUUACUUUUAAUCCAGUUCUCAAAACUGUAACUCAUUUCCCCACCCACAUUAUCGUUUCUCGUUGUAUUUACACACACUGUUGCUGUAUCAAGGCAUGCUUCACUAAUAAAUGACUUUUUAUCAUUGUGAUGAUACAUCUGACUCCGACGACUCAUCAAAACGGUUUUUCUGCUUUCGUCAGUCAGAGCUACAGAUCUGUCACUUACCAUAAUACCGUACAGCAUCGCAAUAGUGUUUUCAGUCAAAUCACUUCAAACUCGUUUCAGAAUUGUUUUAAAUCAGCCAAACUGAAGGAUUGUUAACAAUGAUCAGCCUGUUUAAGGUCAUGCCACAGGAUCUCAAUCAGAUAUCAUCACUGCUUUAUCUUCAGGGCAGAAACUGAUGGCCGCAACUUCUUCAGGAUUUUCUGGCAGAGAUCAGAACUCAUCGCUCCAGUUAUGGCUGAGCCCCCGAAGCAGAAAAAAACCCCCAGACUAUCAUUCUGCCAACGCCUGAUGCCAACACUGCCAACCUGAAGUAUGAUUGUUGAUGUUUUUAAUGAAAUGCUGUAGUUUUAUACCAGGUAUAAAGGGACUCAAUCCUCAGAAAGAAAACUUUUAUCUCAUCAGUCCUCAGAAUAUUUUCCCAAAAGUCUUAGGGGUCAUCAAGAUGUUUGAGAAAAAAGAGCGUUUUUGAUCAGCAAUGAUUUUUAUCCUGAAACUCAGUCGUUGGAUGCCAUUUUCGGCCAGUCUUAAUGUUGAAUUAUAAACACUAGG
This is a long non-coding RNA of Oreochromis niloticus (Nile tilapia), 1706 nucleotides long. RefSeq lists it as uncharacterized. The record is from RefSeq and is a predicted model, not a curated record. NCBI's taxonomy places the organism in Eukaryota, Metazoa, Chordata, Actinopteri, Cichliformes, Cichlidae. The transcript has 4 exons.